Molecule: unclassified non-coding RNA, 392 nt
Filed under: soil metagenome
Description: partial contains 5.8S ribosomal RNA, internal transcribed spacer 2, and large subunit ribosomal RNA
Rfam family: 5.8S ribosomal RNA (bases 1-122)
Source: RNAcentral
GAUGAAGAACGUAGCGAAAUGCGAUACUUGGUGUGAAUUGCAGAAUCCCGUGAACCAUCGAGUCUUUGAACGCAAGUUGCGCCCGAAGCCACUAGGCCGAGGGCACGCCUGCCUGGGCGUCACACGUCGUUGCCCCCCACCAUCUACUCCUUCGGGAUUGCGGGGGGCGGAUGAUGGCCUCCCGUGCGCCUAGCCGCGCGGUUGGCAUAAAUACCAAGUCCUCGGCGACGCACGCCACGACAAUCGGUGGUUGCGAAACCUCGGUUGCCCGUCGUGUGCGUUCGUCGCGCAUCGAGGGCUCGUAAAAAUGCUCGGCUCCGGCUCGGCUUUCAACGCGACCCCAGGUCAGGCGGGGUUACCCGCUGAAUUUAAGCAUAUCAAUAAGCGGAGGA